CCUGGACGCCCCAUCAUCUCUGGAAUUGGCACUCUCACUGAAGGACUGUCCUGAUAUGUGGACUCUCUACUCAGACCCUAUGCCACCAGCACUCCCAGCUAUCUCCGUGACACCACUGAUUUCCUGAGAAAACUACAAUGCAUUGGUGAUCUUCCAGAAAACACCAUCCUAGCCACCAUGGAUGUGGAGGCUCUCUACACAAACAUCCCACACACAGAUGGAAUACAAGCUGUCAGGAACAGUAUCCCUGAUGAUGCCACGGCACAACUGGUUGCUGAGCUCUGUGACUUUAUCGUCACACACAAUUAUUUCAAAUUUGGUGACAAUAUAUACCUCCAGACCAGUGGAACUGCUAUGGGCACCCGCAUGGCCCCACAAUAUGCCAACAUUUUUAUGGCUGACCUGGAACAACGCUUCCUCAGCUCUCGUCCACUCAUGCCCCUUCUCUACCUACGCUACAUUGAUGACAUCUUCAUCAUCUGGAGCCAUGGGAAGGAGACUCUGGAAGAAUUCCACCACGGUUUCAACAGCCUGGACCAAUCUACACCGGAGGUCCACUUCCUAGACACCACAGUACAAAUAAGUGACGGUCACGUUAACAUCACCCUAUACCAAAAACCCACUGACCGCUAUGCCUACCUUCAUGCCUCCAGCUUCCAUCCUGGACACACCACACGAUCCAUCGUCUACAACCAAGCGCUGAGGUACAACCGCAUUUGCUCCAACCCCUCAGACAGAGACCAACACCUACAAGAUCUUCACCAAGCAUUCUCAAAACUACGAUACCCACACGAGGAAAUAAGGAAACAAAUCAACAGAGCCAGAUGUGUACCCAGAAGCCUCCUGCUGCAAGACAAGCCCAAGAAAGAAACCAACAGAACUCCACUGGCCAUCACCUACAGUCCUCAGCUAAAACCUCUCCAACGCAUCAUCAGUGAUCUACAACCCAUCCUGGACAACGAUCCCUCACUUUCACAGGCCUUGGGAGACAGGCAAGUCCUCGCCCACAGA
RNAcentral lists this long non-coding RNA (1011 nucleotides) under Chrysemys picta bellii (western painted turtle). Its description in RNAcentral is "lncRNA (ENSCPBG00000000101.1)". The record is from RNAcentral. Lineage: Eukaryota; Metazoa; Chordata; Testudines; Emydidae.